RNAcentral lists this ribosomal RNA (199 nucleotides) under uncultured bacterium. RNAcentral describes it as "partial 16S ribosomal RNA". It matches the Rfam family "Bacterial small subunit ribosomal RNA", at positions 163 to 353 of the family's 1533-position model. The record is from RNAcentral.
CUGAUACCGGACGGGCAGGAGAGGGGCAUCCCUCUCCUGUGAAAGGCCCUGCAAGGGGCCGCGAGGGGAUGGGUCUGCGGUGCAUUAGCUAGUUGGCGGGGCAGCGGCCCACCAAGGCGACGAUGCAUAGCCGGCCUGAGAGGGCGGACGGCCACAUUGGGACUGAGACACGGCCCAGACUCCUACGGGAGGCAGCAUG